This 478-nucleotide ribosomal RNA is filed under the name uncultured bacterium. RNAcentral describes it as "partial 16S ribosomal RNA". It matches the Rfam family "Bacterial small subunit ribosomal RNA", at positions 29 to 507 of the family's 1533-position model. The record is from RNAcentral.
AUGAACGCUAGCGGGAGGCCUAACACAUGCAAGCCGAGCGGUAGAGAUUCUUCGGAAUCUUGAGAGCGGCGUACGGGUGCGGAACACGUGUGCAACCUGCCUUUAUCAGGGGGAUAGCCUUUCGAAAGGAAGAUUAAUACCCCAUAAUAUAUUUGAUGGCAUCAUUAGAUAUUGAAAGCUUUGGCGGAUAGAGAUGGGCACGCGCAAGAUUAGAUAGUUGGUGAGGUAACGGCUCACCAAGUCGAUGAUCUUUAGGGGGCCUGAGAGGGUGAUCCCCCACACUGGUACUGAGACACGGACCAGACUCCUACGGGAGGCAGCAGUGAGGAAUAUUGGACAAUGGGUUAGCGCCUGAUCCAGCCAUCCCGCGUGAAGGACGACGGCCCUAUGGGUUGUAAACUUCUUUUGUACAGGGAUAAACCUACUCUCGUGAGAGUAGCUGAAGGUACUGUACGAAUAAGCACCGGCUAACUCCGUG